AGUGAACGCUGGCGGUAGGCCUAACACAUGCCAGUCGAACGGCAGCACAGUAAGAGCUUGCUCUUACGGGUGGCGAGUGGCGGACGGGUGAGGAAUACGUCGGAAUCUACCUUUUCGUGGGGGAUAACGUAGGGAAACUUACGCUAAUACCGCAUACGACCUACGGGUGAAAGCAGGGGAUCUUCGGACCUUGCGCGAUUGAAUGAGCCGAUGUCGGAUUAGCUAGUUGGCGGGGUAAAGGCCCACCAAGGCGACGAUCCGUAGCUGGUCUGAGAGGAUGAUCAGCCACACUGGAACUGAGACACGGUCCAGACUCCUACGGGAGGCAGCAGUGGGGAAUAUUGGACAAUGGGCGCAAGCCUGAUCCAGCCAUACCGCGUGGGUGAAGAAGGCCUUCGGGUUGUAAAGCCCUUUUGUUGGGAAAGAAAAGCAGCAGGUUAAUACCCCGCUGUUCUGACGGUACCCAAAGAAUAAGCACCGGCUAACUUCGUG
RNAcentral lists this ribosomal RNA (492 nucleotides) under uncultured bacterium. RNAcentral describes it as "partial 16S ribosomal RNA". It matches the Rfam family "Bacterial small subunit ribosomal RNA", at positions 29 to 507 of the family's 1533-position model. The record is from RNAcentral.